GGAAAGUUGCAAAGCACUUUGAAAAGAGGGUGAAAAGAACCUGAAACCGUUACGUUGAAACCGCAUUGCAGCAGAGUGAAGGGCCGCGUUUUUGUUCAGCUUGGAGGGGAACCUCUAGGUGUACUCAAAUUCCAUGUGCCCGCCAGUCGUGAGCUUUUGGUGGCCGAUUUCUCGGCUGCUGGAGGCGGAGGGCUCCCCCUUUUAAUUAAGGGGUCUGAGGACGAUUCUGGAUAAUACUGCGAUUCGACCCGUCUUGAAACACGGACCAAGAAGUCUAGCGUGUCUGCGAGUCAAAGGGUGUGAAAACCUGUGGGCGCAGUGAAAGCGAACUUCCAUAUUAGAAAAAAAACGUUGCAGUUUGAGGCGGCAUACGAUCGUUGAUUGUAGGUCUGACCUUGAGCAGAUAUGCUAGGACCCGAAAGAUGGUGAACUAUGCUUGAGUAGGGUGAAGCCAGGAGAAAUCCUGGUGGAAGCUCGUAGCGGUGCUGACGUGCAAAUCGCUCGUCUAACUUGAGUAUAGGGGCGAAAGACUAAUCGAACCAUCUGGUAGCUGGUUUUCUCCGAAGUUUCUCUCAGGAUA
RNAcentral lists this ribosomal RNA (580 nucleotides) under Polysiphonia stricta. RNAcentral describes it as "eukaryotic LSU rRNA". It matches the Rfam family "Eukaryotic large subunit ribosomal RNA", at positions 358 to 980 of the family's 3401-position model. Lineage: Eukaryota; Rhodophyta; Florideophyceae; Ceramiales; Rhodomelaceae. The record is from RNAcentral.